GGGCGUGGCUUGAGUAUUUCGUCCUGGAAAAAUCGAUAGGAAUCUUGUAAUGAUGCGAGGAGACUACGUCUCAAAGAAUAGAAACUGAGGAGUUGGGUCGGAUUGAAUCAAGUGAAGAGUGCAGGCAUCCUUUACAUGUAGAAAAAAUAUUAAGAAAAAGAUUCCAGUGGAAGGCAAUCGUUUGAAUGUAUCCAGGUUCUGUCUCAAUAAAGAUGCCUUUCCCUUUAAGAGCCGGAUCAGCAUUGCACAAGCUGUCAGGUGCACAGAGACAGCAAACCAAGAAUAAACUGAUGUACUAGAGUGAAAAAGAAACUUGUAAACAAAUACUCUCCCUCCCUCCCUCCCUCCUGGUCACUCCCUAUAUUUUUCUUUUGUACUCAUUCAAUUGACUCAGGUCUGCAAUGGUUCAAACAUAAUACCUCUACUCUUGGGUAUAUGCAGUAGUGGAGCACAUAAACACACAGCAUAGGCCUACUUUUAGGGAACAUGUUUUAACAUAGUUGCACAGAAAUAAAUUCUAUUAAAAGAAUCUUGACAGAAUGGGGUUUACAAGCUAUAUAGUAUAGCAUCUUUUCUGUUUUGUACUUUGUUUUCCAGUGCCAUCUCCUCCCAUGCUGCUCCUGGAAGCUGAAUUCAGAUGGUGCCAUAGAGUACUUUAUGGCAUCUAGCACCAUUUGAAAUCAGUGUUCUUGGGUCGGUCCUGACAUCACAUGGGAGACCUAAAUGGUGUUGACUACUGCAAUAUUUGUGAUCAGUGUCUCUGCAUGUCUGAUUUGCAUAAGUUUUAUAAAUUAAUAAAACUAAUUUAUCCUUA
Long non-coding RNA from Carassius auratus (goldfish), 814 nucleotides. RefSeq lists it as uncharacterized. The record is from RefSeq and is a predicted model, not a curated record. The transcript has 2 exons. Lineage: Eukaryota; Metazoa; Chordata; Actinopteri; Cypriniformes; Cyprinidae.